AGGGACUCUGGCUUUGUCCCUGUUUCCCCCUUUUCUUCCUCUUCACCCACUAAAACCCUGUUUUACUCACGGUUCAAAUUGUUUGGCAGCCUGAAUUUUCAUGGCCAUGGGACAAAGAACCCCGUCUUUAGCUGAAUUAAGGAAAAGUUCUGCAACAUUUUUGACGUGCAACUUGGGGGCUCAAGCGGAGAAGCGGACGGAUCAGCAGCUCCCUGCCACUGUCCCCUCCCUGCCAGGGCUGGGACACAUGGCUCAAGGCGCUGCAGAAGGCUGGCUGGCGUUUUCUACCAUGUGCCCAUGGAAUCUCCUCCCACAGUCAGGGAGCCCAGCUCCAACCCACAGCAAUUACACUUCUCCCCCUGGUGAAGGAAACACUUGCAUAAGAAUAAGAGGUUCUUCCACAGGCAUUUUAAAACCUUUUUUCUUUCCUCUUCUCCACAAUAUCAGCAUUUAAGUUUAAGCAAGUUUUUUUAUUUCUAGAAGACAUUUUACUAGGCAAGGAAUGAUAAGAAUCCCUGUGUAUAUUCUCUAUUAAGCUUUAAUUGUGAAAAAGGAUUUGUAGGGCUAGUCUUGGGCUGUGGCCAAUCUGGUAUGCUUCCUGUGUCUGUAUGGUUUGUG
This 618-nucleotide long non-coding RNA is filed under the name Homo sapiens (human). RNAcentral describes it as "HSALNT0297118". Lineage: Eukaryota; Metazoa; Chordata; Mammalia; Primates; Hominidae. The record is from RNAcentral.